UAAGACAUGGGUGACCUGGCCCAAAGUGAGGGAUACCGGCGAGAAAUGGCCGACAAGCCCGCAUAGGUUCUGUCUGGUGGAGCGGGCAGAGCAAAGGCGCAAGCUGCUUUGGGAUGGGCCUGUGGCCGAUUAGCUAGUUGGGGGGUAAGAGCCUCCCAAGGCGACGAUCGGUAGCUGGUCUAAGAGGACGAUCAGCCACACUGGGAUUGAGAACGGCCCAG
Molecule: ribosomal RNA, 221 nt
Filed under: uncultured bacterium
Lineage: Bacteria
Description: partial 16S ribosomal RNA
Rfam family: Bacterial small subunit ribosomal RNA
Source: RNAcentral